Molecule: unclassified non-coding RNA, 206 nt
Filed under: Hevea brasiliensis (rubber tree)
Lineage: Eukaryota; Viridiplantae; Streptophyta; Magnoliopsida; Malpighiales; Euphorbiaceae
Source: RNAcentral
AAAACCAACAUUAAUAACAGCAAUCACUAAAGCAGGUGUGUAUCAGCAUUAUUAUCACUAGUCUAUUAAAACUUCAAAACGAAGCAACAAAAACCCGAACCAAACAUAUUAAUCACACAAUUUUAACAUCUAUCAGAUCACAUUCAAUACGUAAUUAAUCAAAUAGUUGUCUAUAGCUAUAAAAUCCACACGCAUUUACUCGAGUU